Molecule: long non-coding RNA, 1551 nt
Organism: Gallus gallus (chicken)
Lineage: Eukaryota; Metazoa; Chordata; Aves; Galliformes; Phasianidae
Source: Ensembl
UUUGCAGCAAGAUAAUAACCCUCCUCCCUGUGUAGCCACACGAAUAGGUGGCUUACCGUUUCUCCUUGUCUGAAUAGCCCACGUGAUUAACACACCCUGACUCCUCCUCUCCGUCCCUCCUCCCUGAAGCUUUCUCUAGGAAGAGGGUGUGGAUGCAGAGCUGUUGCCCGGCCAAUGCCCACUUCACAUCAGCCGCUCUUGCAGGGCUGCUCUGUUAUCUCAGGUUUCCCUGGAUGAAGGAACCAACUGAAACCCCCUGUACCUCACGAUCAGUUGCUGCGGUUCUGGCUGGGACAGCUCUGAAGCAGCGAACCUCGGCGAUCAAGGACUUAAUCAGACGAUUUCAUCAGUAGAAAGGAGUCGGCUACUUGAAGCAGUCCUCCGAGGAUUGGCCAACAGAGAAGUUGCUUUUUUUUCAGCAACUUCACUGUAAAAAAGGAGCCUAUUAAUACUUCAUGUUUCCUGUGUGGUGCCAAAUAUAGAGACCCCACAAGUGUAACAUACACUUAACGUCCUACAGUUUCUACCAAAAGAGAAGAAAACCCCUUAGCAAUGUAACACUGAUAAAUGAAAACAACAAUACAUGGUCCUAACUUGGAGUAGAGGGGAAGUGAACUCAUGCAGCUUCUCUCGUUUAUGGCUUUCUCAUGAACUAAAGAAAUGCUGACUCCUAUAACCGAGGAUUCAAGAAAUAUCAGGGAGUUCUCCUUUGUGAGAAAAGAGAGGAAGAAAGCAGAGGCAGGUGGAGAAGAAAGCAGUAUUCUUCAUUUAUGAAGCACUUAUGAAAAAAGAGUUGUUUUCUUUGAAGAAAAUAAAAUUGACUGCAGCAUUUUACAGCAUCAUGAGACCAGAAUCACUUUAAUCAGGAAGAAACAUGAUGGCAGUGCAACAGGCAUAGAGAAAUUAUAUUUCACAUCAUUACUGUGUCAGAUAUGGCUAGAAACUAAAUCUAUUUUUCAUUAAAAAAAUUGUACAAAAGGUUUCAAUUUUGCCUAGAUAACACUUUUUGUUAUAAAAGUAUUCUAACUAAGCAUUCCUGAACAGCUGUACACUACAUCAAAAUUUUAGACUUUGCAUCAAAAAGCUGUUUACUUUUCAUCAACUUGUAACACAACAGAAAUGAGCAAUGAGAGAUCAUGUCCAAAACGUACAUUCAAUAUGCUGUAAUUAUCUUAAAACACCAAAAAGAAUGAUUUUCAAAGUUGAAGUAAUACAUACCUUGGAAGCAGCUGUUAAAUAAGCCCUGAAAUCUAUGUUAUGAUUGACUAGAGAGAUUACUUUGAGUGUACAAGUCAAAUUACUUCCUAUUUAAUGACAACAAAAUACAACUCCUUAUCCUAUUCUGAAACUCAGUUUCCACUAAGUAAUAGUUUUGACUAACAAAAUGGAAAUAUAAUUUUUAUAUUGUGUGUUUGCAUAUGUGAAAUAUCACAUUCUGUUAUUUGAUUAAAUUUAUUACCCCAAUGUACAUGUUAUCAGAGAAACAAAUUAGAUCAAUAUUAAAUAUAUAACUGUUAAUAUUUUAGCUUGAUAAAAUAAACAAAACUCUUC